This 395-nucleotide long non-coding RNA is filed under the name Homo sapiens (human). Its description in RNAcentral is "HSALNT0078315". Lineage: Eukaryota; Metazoa; Chordata; Mammalia; Primates; Hominidae. The record is from RNAcentral.
GAGUUUUGCUGGUGGUUAAGUAUAUAUUUCAAUGGUCCGUGUAAAGGAAACAACAGUAGACAAAGAAAAUUGUAUUUCUCGGCUGACUGUAUUGUCUUUCCUGAGGACCCUCAUCAUAACAACUUUUUCUCUGGUGAUUUCCAAUGAAUCACCCUGAAGUAGUACCUGCAAUGACGUUGCACACACUAUUCUCUGCAAUCAGCUGUGCGAAGACAGCUGUCACUCCUCUUCGUCACUAAAGGGAAUCCCAGUCUGAUGGCAGCAGUCCCAUGGUAAGAUCUGGUCUGCAGAGAAGAACCAUCACAGAACUCUCCAAGAAUAUAUUUAUCAAAGCCAUGUGGAAGAGAGUAUCCUCUGGACCAUCCCAGGAUGAUUCCUGGCCACAGCAAAGAGGA